AGCGCAACCCUCAUUAUUAGUUGCCAGCAUUAAGUUGGGCGCUCUAGUAAGACUGCCGGUGACAAACCGGAGGAAGGAGGGGAUGACGUCAAAUCAUCAUGCCCCUUAUGACCUGGGCUACACACGUGCUACAAUGGAUGGUACAACGAGUUGCGAGGCCGCGAGGUCAAGCUAAUCUCUUAAAGCCAUUCUCAGUUCGGACUGUAGGCUGCAACUCGCCUACACGAAGUCGGAAUCGCUAGUAAUCGCGGAUCAGCACGCCGCGGUGAAUACGUUCCCGGGCCUUGUACACACCGCCCGUCACGCCAUGAGAGUUUGUAACACCCGAAGCC
RNAcentral lists this ribosomal RNA (332 nucleotides) under Pediococcus acidilactici. RNAcentral's name for it is "bacterial SSU rRNA". It matches the Rfam family "Bacterial small subunit ribosomal RNA", at positions 1095 to 1428 of the family's 1533-position model. Lineage: Bacteria; Bacillati; Bacillota; Bacilli; Lactobacillales; Lactobacillaceae. The record is from RNAcentral.